This 500-nucleotide ribosomal RNA is filed under the name uncultured bacterium. Its description in RNAcentral is "partial 16S ribosomal RNA". It matches the Rfam family "Bacterial small subunit ribosomal RNA", at positions 28 to 523 of the family's 1533-position model. The record is from RNAcentral.
GAUGAACGCUAGCGGCAGGCUUAAUACAUGCAAGUCGUGGGGCAGCAUGAGUAGCAAUACUUGAUGGCGACCGGCAAACGGGUGCGGAACACGUACACAACCUUCCGAUAAGUGGGGAAUAGCCCAGAGAAAUUUGGAUUAAUACCCCGUAACAUAUAGAGUAGGCAUCUUCUUUAUAUUAUAGCUUCGGCGCUUAUUGAUGGGUGUGCGUCUGAUUAGGUAGUUGGCGGGGUAACGGCCCACCAAGCCUACGAUCAGUAGCUGAUGUGAGAGCAUGAUAAGCCACACGGGCACUGAGACACGGGCCCGACUCCUACGGGAGGCAGCAGUAAGGAAUAUUGGACAAUGGGCGAAAGCCUGAUCCAGCCAUGCCGCGUGAAGGAUUAAGGUCCUCUGGAUUGUAAACUUCUUUUAUUUGGGACGAAAAAAGGGAAUUCUUUCCCACUUGACGGUACCAAGUGAAUAAGCACCGGCUAACUCCGUGCCAGCAGCCGCAGUAA